This 484-nucleotide ribosomal RNA is filed under the name uncultured bacterium. Its description in RNAcentral is "partial 16S ribosomal RNA". It matches the Rfam family "Bacterial small subunit ribosomal RNA", at positions 29 to 507 of the family's 1533-position model. The record is from RNAcentral.
AUUGAACGCUGGCGGCAUGCUUUACACAUGCAAGUCGAACGGCAGCGCGGUCUUCGGCCUGGCUGCGAGUGGCGAACGGGUGAGUAAUACAGCGGAACGUGCCCAGCAGUGGGUGCUAGCGGGGCGAAAGCCGGAUUAAUACCGCAUACGACCUUAGGGUGAACGCGUGAGAUCUUCGGACCUCGCGCUAUUGCAGCGGUCGAUGGCCGAUUAGCUAGUUGGUGGGGUAAAGGCCUACCAAGGCGACGAUCGGUAGCUGGUCUGAGAGGACGACCAGCCACACUGGGACUGAGACACGGCCCAGACUCCUACGGGAGGCAGCAGUGGGGAAUGUUGGACAAUGGGCGCAAGCCUGAUCCAGCCAUGCCGCGUGUGUGAUGAAGGCCUUCGGGUUGUAAAGCACUUUUGGCGGGAACGAAAAGGACUGUGCCAAUACCACGGUGCGAUGACGGUACCCGAAGAAUAAGCACCGGCUAACUACGUG